This 108-nucleotide small RNA is filed under the name Sinorhizobium medicae. RNAcentral describes it as "rpsB". It matches the Rfam family "rpsB sRNA". The record is from RNAcentral. Lineage: Bacteria; Pseudomonadati; Pseudomonadota; Alphaproteobacteria; Hyphomicrobiales; Rhizobiaceae.
CACACGUGAGGCAUGGGAUUGUCCGGGAGAAAUCCGGAUCGUUCCGCCGGUGGGCGCAUCAUGAAUGCGUUCGACGCCUUGCGGAGGUUCAACCGGAAAAGGAGACAA